Molecule: long non-coding RNA, 5319 nt
Filed under: Panax ginseng (ginseng)
Lineage: Eukaryota; Viridiplantae; Streptophyta; Magnoliopsida; Apiales; Araliaceae
Description: long non-coding RNA (PGIN_LNC013096)
Source: RNAcentral
UGUCUGUCUCCCAAUUGGGCUAUAUUGCAACUAAGAGUAGACUUUUAACCUUAAUAACCCUGAUCAAAUCCAGAUGGGUCCAAAUCAAAUUAUAACAUGACCAAGGUGCAGUCCCAUUGUCUCAAUGGUAUCUUCUUGGCUUGGCUUGGGUCCUUAUAUGCAUAUCAAAUUAUCGCACAUGGUACGAUGUUUACUGAAUUUACAUUAUCAAGACUUGACGGAGUUAACUGCAUAUUUCGAAGAAUUAAAGAGCAAACAAAAGCUUUUAUUUCUGAUUAUCCAGAGUUAUUGUGAUUAGGAAGGUACGUACAAAUCAACCAUACAUAUCUUUGCAGCUGCGUGGACAUCUCUUCUACAGGUCCCAAGUACCUUGACAUAUAUGGUGUGUGAUAUAAAAUCUUAGCACUAGGCGACUUUCUCCUUUUAUUUGUUGGCUUAAUGUGCGACAAUCUUUUCCAAUUAUUCAAAGUGGAGACUUGGAACAAAGUCUACCUUAAAUCUUCUAACAAGUGCAUGUUCAUUUCCAAGCAAUUUCCCAACUAAUGCCGAGUACCUCGACUAUACUUGGUUUCAGCCUUUCAGGCCUUCAUUUCAUACUUCACCACAUAAAAAAUUUAUAUUUUCAUAUCAUCUCUCUCAUGAAUAGUGAAUAGGUCUCACCUCCAUUUGAGAGAGACUCAUGCACCGUGGAACCCUUAACCUCGUGAAAGCCUCAUCAUGAAAACCAUGAGGUUAGUCAUACCGCUGGGUCAAAUACCAUGCCGUAAAUUUUUUGGCUUUUUCUUAUCCAUUUUUGGUCUAAUAUAGUACAUAAUAGAGCUUCAAUCUUCAAUCAAUUGAUAUAAAGUCCUCCUUGAUAUUCAUCAAAUGUUAAGUCUUCAUAGUGAUCUUCUAUACUAUUGAGGGAAAAUUCCUAAUCUUCUAAUCAAAUCAACCCUCUUGCUUUUGUUUCUGCAACUUGGCCUCUAAUUCAUGGAUCUGGAAGAAAAUUGAAACCCGUUGCUUGAGGAGCUCAUAGCUUCUUUCCAUGGUGUUGCUAAACAGUUUGAUUUCUCAUCGUCAAUCUCUGUUCCUUCUGGAGAAUUGCUGGUUGAGGGUGAUGUGACAGGUACAGAUGGGUUUCUGGAACCUGAUCGAGUACAUGAUAUAAAGCUAUGUUUCUCAGAAGAGUGUUCGAAAGAGAGAGAAGACAUGCCAGAUAAUAGAGGUGGCAAGAGAACUCCGGCGCAAAUUGAGAGAUCAUCUCGCCCUCAUUAGCUCCGGUAAUACUAUGUUUUUAUGGUGUCAAAGCCACACCAAGAUACAAUAUCAUCCUGUUCAUUACUGUGUUUAUACUUGAUAAAUAUAAGCUAUGACUGCCACAACUCAGAAGGUUUAAGAGGAUAGGCACACAACAUGAGCAAAAGAAUAAUUUGAUGACAAUUCCAUUACAUAAAUGUUUCUUAAUCUCUGGUAGUCGUUAACAUAAUAGCAAACUGUAAAAUCAUAAGUGGUGCAACUCGGAGCAUGUAUUCUUUUAUAUACAAGCUCAGAUGUAGAAUUGUUUGGUUUUUAGUACACUUUUUUUUUUAUGACGGUUCACAUAGGUUCAACUUACAACUAUUAAACUCUAUAUAUGCCCUAAUUGAGAAUAUAAGAGAAAACUUCCAUAACCAUCCAGUAUGUAAUAGACUGGACACCAACAGAUACUGUUAUGAGUCCUCAAAAUGGUGAUCUGUCUCGUCGAAGAUUUCCUCCUGCAUGGUGAAGAAAUUGAUGUUCAUAAAAUAGAGAUCAGCCAUAAUAUUGUGAUAUUACGAAAAAUAUGGAACUUCUUAAAACAUAAACUUCUUCUACUAUACCUGUAGAAGCUCUUCAAUGACAUCUUCCAUUGUUAUUAUGCCAACAGCUUCUUCUUCUUCAGGGAGUUUUGGAAGUGGGUUUCCAUCUAUUUGCAAGAUGUCUGAGUACAUGUCCUUUGCCCACUUCUUGCUCCUUGAGCUACCCUUAAAGGAGUUGUUUGCGCUAUUUGGAAAACUCUUCCACUUCUGGAGCGAUCUUUUGGUUUUCAAACUCUUUUCUAGAGGCGGCUUGUCCCCAUCAACGUCUAUCUUCACAUCCUUCACUGGGUUUAUAUGGGAGCAAGAAAAAGGUGUGUGAGAAUUUAAAGAAAAUACAAGUAGAUCUUUUCCAAAAAUAAGAAUGCAUGACCAGCUUACUUUUCGUAGGGCUUUCACUGGCACCCUGCUCCCCCGCCUUUACACAGUGUCUUACAACAACAGCCAUGUGGCUGUGACCUUUCUGAAACUCAUUCAAAAUAUCAUAUAAUGGCAAGGUUUCCGGAACCCUAAAAAAUAAAAUAUUGAGAACAUCAGUUUGUAAAUAAGUGCAUCAACCACCUACCCAGGUUGUACAUCACAAAUAACAAGUGCUAACAAACAUGGCAUUGUCACCUACCGACCUCCUGGUCAGUGGUCAGUAACCCACAUUCAACAAAUGGCAUCUAAUUUUCAACUUAAGAAUCCUUCAACAGAGUUGAAGAAAGCAUACAUACACGUCAAAGCUAGUUACAACCACAUUGCAAUAGUCCGUGUCCAACUACGAAUUAUAAUUUUUUUAAAAUACCAAAAUCCAGCUCUAAAAGUAAAAAUAUGAAAAGGAUACAAAGAAAAUAUAAGUAAAAGAAAAAAUGAAAACAAAUAAACGUACACUGAUACAAAUGAAAAUAAUUCUACAACAGUGGGCCAAGGCACCGAGAUGUCGAUUCUCUAUUCUUCCAUCUCCUGUCUAAAUUUGUGCGAAUGCCUCUCACAAUAUGGGUAGGGUGCAAAGAAAGCAGUUGCAAAAACAAAUGACGUAUGCUAAUGAUACACAAUUGAUGUUUAUUAUAACUAAUGUACAAAGAAGGGGAGACAACUAAACAUCAGCGCUGGACCAAAAAAAAAAGAGAAAACAUAUCAUGGUGAAUGGUGAGGAUAUAAAUAAUGAUGGCCUUCGUGGACAAGAAGAAAAUUAAAUCAAGGUGUAAAAGUUCUAUACGUUGUCAUGCCUUACAGAUUAGUUUGGAUGCUCCAAUAAUUUUUUAUAACCUCAAUUCCAGAUAAGAAUAAAAGUUUCCAUAUUACGCUUAGUUGCGGACAAAAUAAGUUUCCAUAUUCAGCUUAGGUGUGGACAAAUGGAAAAACCAAGAAUCUUAAUAAACAUGAUUUCAAAAUCAAUCUUGUAGCAAAUGUAAAGUGAAGCAGCAUCGGCGAUGAAACCUAAAUAGAAUUGCUGACCAAGCUGGAAUUUUGUUAUUGAGGCUUGGAAGUGUUUAGGGGAUGAAAUAGCCUCUUGCUAUGAAGUUGAUGAGAAAAUGCUUUAUAAGGGAUGUGCAAGUGUAAUAUUAUACCUAUAUAUAGAAUGGCAUAAUAAUCAGGCUGUACAUAUCACUAUAGUACCAAAAUAAGGUGUUAUAGAAAUGAAAAUAGGGAGAUUUAUGGACCCACCCGCCAACAAAAAAGGGUAGAUUUUGAUUAGCAAAAUCAAAGACUUGGCAAAAUUAUUGGGAAUCAGAUUCAGUUCUUAGUACAAGAAUACUCCCUCUGUCCCACAAGAAAGUUCCCAUUCUAUUGUAUGCACCACGACAUGUAUAUUUGUUAACGUGUAAGCAGAAAUAUAUACAAAAACUUAAAAUAUAUUGGCUUUUGGUCAACGCGGCCUCGAGGUUACUCUAAAAGGCCUCCUAGUUGUGCAUCAUGAAACCCUAAUAUUACCAAAUGUUGUCCAAAUAUUUGUUAAGAUGAAGCUACAUGAUUCUGCAUUUUGCUCGUCUUUCAUACUCAUGUUCAAUGACUUCAAUCUGAUGUGCUGACAGGUAGAGAUUUGUCAGUCAAAUGAAAAGGGAAAAAACAUGAAUAGAAGUUCCCAAAAAUCUUUUGGCCUACAAACAUCCAAACUCAUGUUUGCUAUUCUCCUAUUCGACAAAAAAUAUAAGAUUACUUUUCAGACCUCAGAAAUUCUGCAGCAAAACUAGGAUGAAGAAAAUCAAAAAAUUAACAAAGAAUCUUAUUAUUUGAAAUAUUACAUUUUUCAGAGCAACAAUAGUGAUCCUGAAAUAAAACCUAAAAGAAAUAGUCCGACUUGUAUCAUUCAUUGCAAGUAAGAACCAAGACAACCUUUUUAUGUUGAAGUAUCAUUUGUACUUCUUUUGAACCCACAACAAAUACAACAUCUAUGAUUAUACGAUACCUUGGGAUUCUGCGAAUGGUAACAUUCUUUACAGGUACUUGGUCUUCGGGAUGGAUAGUUAACAAAUUCUUCGCCUAUAAGUUCAGUAUUAAAAAUAAUAUAUAAGAAACCUAAUACAUAAAACACCAUUACAUAUCACUCCAAAAAGAGGGGGCAUUAUUUGUUUAAAUGAUCAUAGGUAUAAUGGAACAGUUUUAGCUAACAUUCACCUAACAAACUUUAAUAUUCUCACAAACUCUCAUAACAAUAUGUAACAAGUCCUCCAGGCACAAACUUACUCAACUCAAUUCAUCCUAAUGGCUUUAUAUUAGAUUAACUGAGAGUCUGAGACCAAGCUGUUUUAAUCUUGGAAGCAUGUGAAUAGGAGAGAGAGAUGAGCUAACAUCGUUUUGGUCAAACAAUGAAGGCAAAAAUAAAAAUUGAAGAGCUUCUUUUUUUAUUUAUUUCCAAAGGUACAAGAAACAUAUUUUACAACGAUGUCAGAUGAGAUGUAUUUUUUUACAGAAAGGAAAUAAAUCAUUCUAAACUUUUCACCAAAGUGUAUGAGCAAGUACCAGAAUAAGUCCAAUAAUAUUUGUAGGUUGCUCAUAGUAGACUGGCACUCUGCUAUGCCCUUUUUCCAAAAUUAAAUUCAUCAAAUCCCUGUGUUAUAGCAAAUUGACGUAAAUAUAAUCUCACAAAAAGCUUAGUAAGGUUGCAGGUGUGACAUAUUUAAUUCUAAAGAGUUCAAAGGAUGCAUCACCUAUCAAGCUUGGCAUUAAUAUCAACUGCAAAAGUGUCAGAUAUGGGAGUCAUGGCAUCACUAGCUGUUUUCUCACUAAGUUCAAGUGCUCCGGCAAUGAUUGUCGUCUCAUCAUGAGUGAGUUCUCCACCUUUUCCUGCCUGCUCACAACUCACAAGUACUCAUAAACUCACAACGCUGCUGUAAUACGAAAUAAGCAGAAAACUCCAGACAGCAGGGUUGAAAUUCAACAGUAAAUUUGAACCAAAAAAUAUCAGGACAUUCUCAUACAAGGUUUUGAAGCUCCAAAAAUGGUAAUUGUGAAUAAACAGAUUCCUAAGUGAACCAACUUUCACAUCUAAAAGAGCAAAAAAGAAAAAAUAUUAUGC